RNAcentral lists this ribosomal RNA (690 nucleotides) under uncultured Acidobacteriota bacterium. RNAcentral describes it as "bacterial SSU rRNA". It matches the Rfam family "Bacterial small subunit ribosomal RNA", at positions 15 to 736 of the family's 1533-position model. The record is from RNAcentral. Lineage: Bacteria; Pseudomonadati; Acidobacteriota.
GAUCCUGGCUCAGAAUCAACGCUGGCGGCGUGCCUAACACAUGCAAGUCGCACGAGAAAGGGGCUUCGGCCCUGAGUACAGUGGCGCACGGGUGAGUAACACGUGAAUUAUCUACCUCCGAGUGGGGAAUAACCUAGAGAAAUCUGGGCUAAUACCGCAUAACACUUACGAGUCAAAGCAGCAAUGCGCUUGGAGAGGAGUUCGCGGCAGAUUAGUUAGUUGGCAGGGUAAUGGCCUACCAAGACGAUGAUCUGUAUCCGGCCUGAGAGGGCGCACGGACACACUGGAACUGAAACACGGUCCAGACUCCUACGGGAGGCAGCAGUGGGGAAUUUUGCGCAAUGGGGGAAACCCUGACGCAGCAACGCCGCGUGGAGGAUGAAAUCCCUUGGGAUGUAAACUCCUUUCGAUUGGGAAGAUUAUGACGGUACCAAUAGAAGAAGCCCCGGCUAACUUCGUGCCAGCAGCCGCGGUAAUACGAGGGGGGCAAGCGUUGUUCGGAAUUAUUGGGCGUAAAGGGCGCGUAGGCGGUUUGACAAGUCUGAUGUGAAAUCUCUGGGCUCAACCCAGAGUCUGCAUUAGAAACUGUCGGGCUUGAGUAUGGGAGAGGUGAGUGGAAUUUCCCGGUGUAGCGGUGAAAUGCGUAGAUAUCGGAAGGAACACCUGUGGCGAAAGCGGCUCACUGGACCA